Molecule: long non-coding RNA, 1089 nt
Organism: Synchiropus splendidus (mandarinfish)
Lineage: Eukaryota; Metazoa; Chordata; Actinopteri; Syngnathiformes; Callionymidae
Exons: 3
Source: RefSeq, a predicted model, not a curated record
CAAUACCGCCCCUGCUGCCCCAAUUCACCGACCAAUCUCCAAAUCCCUAAUGCCCUCACAUGAGAACAACACCCCGAGAUACUUCAACUUCUCCACUUGAGGCAAGAUCUCAGUCCCAACCUUCAGUCUUCCUCUGUGACUCCUAAAAUGAUCAUUGCUGAAGAUUACUGCAGGUUGUAACUGUACCAAAUAAACUGACCAUAAACAUGGAAAAACCUCACAUAGAUAAGUGAUGCUGGUCAGGACACAAAACCCUGGCAGAAAAUCUGCCACCUGCAAACUCACCUGUUUCUAAAGACACGUGUUUCUUCCAAAUAUAGACGAGAGUGAGGGGCUUCAUCCACAAGUGCGUUCACAAAUAAUGGACCAGGCGACCAACAACAAGAUCUCAGGUGCCUAACAGUGGCACAGAAAUGUGGGUCAGCAAUGAAGACGAAGACAUGUGCAACCAGCACGUGACGCUGGCGAGCGGCGGCGGCGGGAGGCCGUGGGACGGAGACUCCCCAGAGACCAUCUCCCUCUCGCCGCCGAAGCUGCGCUUCCUUGGGCGCUGAUAUCAAGAUUCUGAGACUCUGUCAGCUGGACAGAGGAGGAUGGGAGGCAGUUGCAGUGGGUUACCAGACGGUGAUGGACGACCUCUGGGACUCCGACUACCUUAACUGAGAUGGGAAGAAGUCAAAUCCCAAGCUCCUCCUUGAAGAAGUCCUUCACUCCUUCCAGUCUCAGGAGAAGCAGGGAGGGGGCCCUUCUGUUCAGAGGCCACGGAUUAUUCACUUCAGGGUUCAGAACAAGGCCAGCGGCACAAUAGGAAUCAGGCUUCGGCGCCGACUCACCAUGGAAACACUGCUUCAAAUUCAAGUGGGACAUCAUGGUUGUCACAUCCUGCAUCGCAGCUUUAUUGUCUACGCAGCUUUCAAUACAGCAAAGUAUCAACAAUGACUGACCCUCCGCGUGAAGAAGCAGCGGCUGCAGUGGUGUGUCAGAGCGAGUGAGGUGUCAGGACCGACUCCAAGGCUCCAAACACAGAAGCUGCACAUGAAACACUGCACUCGCACGUGACGUGGCUGGUUGGUAAUAUCUACACUCAUG